This is a long non-coding RNA of Macrosteles quadrilineatus (aster leafhopper), 478 nucleotides long. RefSeq lists it as uncharacterized. The transcript has 2 exons. The record is from RefSeq and is a predicted model, not a curated record. Lineage: Eukaryota; Metazoa; Arthropoda; Insecta; Hemiptera; Cicadellidae.
AGGCCAUGAUGAAGCUUAUAUUGACGGUCGUUGGUUUCGUGUUGUUGUUUUCCGUUCAGGAAAGUACCCAGCAACCGGAACGGAGCAAAGCCUACAAAACUUUAAAAGCCGCCCUUAUACAAGGAAUUGCCGAUGGACUUCACCAACUCGCCCUGACAGGGGAGAAAUUUUCAAAAUUUGAUGCAGAGAAAAAACUAAGUCAAAUUACUAUAGUUGAAACCGUAAGAUUAACCGAUCUUUUUAACAAAAUAAAUCCCAAUUACGUCUCCAAGGUUAUAGGAGAAGCCUUGAGAUCUCCAGAAGUCCAAAAAGAAUAUCAAGAGAUAAUAAACAUCUCACCUAGAUUUAUUGGAGCGACCGUAAUGGGAGUUACUCAACUUACCUCCGAUUUUAUGAAGAUGAUUUUAACUAGGUAUUGAAAUACCAAAUUGUAAUCUGUGGUAGAAACAGCGUUAAUUACAUUACCUGGGAUAAGAAA